ACUGAUUUAAAGAUCAGUUAGUCCACCAUAGUUUUUCUUUACGGAAAGAUAAUGAGAUGGCUCCCUGUGCUCUGAUUGAUUUUUUGUAUUAUGAUCUAUCUAGGAGCAAUACCAAAGUGUUUCAAAGGAGGAUUACCUUGACUUAGGUCUGCCUCCGGUCUAAAUUAAAUCAACCUAAGUGAAAUGGAGUCUCUAUCGUUCCACUUCAAGAGUUAACUAUGAGACUUCAUACACCUUAAAGUUCAUAGAACGAAAAGAAGUUUUUUGGAGGCCCUUAUCCUCAUUACGCCUAGCAUUUAGUGGGCUGGAUAUUUACCUUAUCAACUAGCAAAUCCAUAAGGGUUCUAUUUGAUUAGGCACCUGAAUCGGACUGAACCGACUGUUUGUCAGGCUACUGUUCUCCUAUUCUCUCGAAUCUAUGAAGUAAGACAUUGAUUUUGCAAUAAGAUCGAUUAUGUUCAUUGCAUAAUAAGCUCCUUUGAAAAGCAUUGGCGCACGUGUAAACGAGUUGCUCUACCGAACUGAGCUAUAGCCCUUAUCAGAGAUAUCUUAACAUAUAGAUAAUUUCUUGUCAAGAUGAAUAUUUUCUAAUGCCAGAGGAUACCCCUUUGAUCUGUAUCUGUUUAGUAUUUAGUUUAGUAUUUAGUAUAUAACAGAGCAAUAACAGAGCGGUAUUGCUUAGAAAAGGGAUUCAAUAUAUAAUCGAUCGAAGUAAUGGGUCUUCCUUUGUGGUGAUAAAUUGCCUACUUAACUCAGUGGUUAGAGUAUUGCUUUCAUACGGCGGGAGUCAUUGGUUCAAAUCCAAUAGUAGGUAAGUAGGUAGAAAAAUUACUAGAUAGCAUUGGACUUACUUCGCUUC
RNAcentral lists this ribosomal RNA (859 nucleotides) under Triticum aestivum (bread wheat). RNAcentral's name for it is "partial small subunit ribosomal RNA". The stretch from base 742 to 814 matches the Rfam family "tRNA". Lineage: Eukaryota; Viridiplantae; Streptophyta; Magnoliopsida; Poales; Poaceae. The record is from RNAcentral.